RNAcentral lists this transfer RNA (53 nucleotides) under Chenopodium quinoa (quinoa). RNAcentral describes it as "partial tRNA-His". Lineage: Eukaryota; Viridiplantae; Streptophyta; Magnoliopsida; Caryophyllales; Amaranthaceae. The record is from RNAcentral.
GGCGGAUGUAGCCAAGUGGAUCAAGGCAGUGGAUUGUGAAAACCCAUGCGCAA